UUAUUACUAUCUUACCCUUUAAUUUUAUCAAAAUUCCUACAUUACCCUUAUUCCUCCUACCCAACCCUAACCCUAAAUUGCUAAACAACUUCCACUCUUCCUCAUCAACCACAGCCCCCUUCUUUUCAAAACUCACACCAUACACAAAUACACCCACGUAGAAAAAAAAAAGAGAGAGAACGGUAGAAGGGCUGCUGCCUCCAUGCCUCACCGCCGAAGUUCUGCUGCUGCCAAGUCGCCAUUGACAUCAACCCUAGAAAAAGAGGGAGUCUGCGAGUUGAAGGAAGUUGGAGGAGUGUCGCUGCCAUUAGCAUUUUGCGGUGCCGCCAUCAUGGUCGCCGAGAAGGAGGAGGACCCGCGAGGAAGAGGGACGCGGUCAGUCUCAUCGUCAUCAGAUCCGUCUUUGCCGAUGGAGACCCCAUCGCCAAGCUACUGCACCGCCGCUGCCACUGUGGGUUUCCGGGAAGAGGAGCUCUAGCGGGAGAGAGAGAACGAGAGAGUUCGCAGAAAGAGAAACAUCACCAUACACGAACAGAGGGGGGAGGAGGAACUCACCGGAGGAAAAGGAGACUCGUCGCCAGGAAUGGCGGUACCGUCGCCGGAAAAUACGCCGGAGCUUCCAAACUCACCGGCAACACUACCUUGCCACUGUUCUGGUCUAGCUUCUUCCCUUAGUCUGUCCUGUUUUCACCUUAUCUCUGCCACUGAUUCAUUUUUCUACCUUGUCCUUGUUUUGAUUUAUUUUUGUCUUUAUUCUGUUUUGGAUCUUCCAGAAUUUUAUCUGCCUUUGUCUCUGUAUUCGAUUUGAAAUGACUGCCUGGUGUUGUGGUCAUUGUCGCUGUCGUGAGACACACUCUGGGUUUAGUCUCUUCGGUCCGUUAGGACCAUGCUGAACAACUACUUGACUAUGUGAAACUUUUUAUUCAAGAGUAACAAUCUGCAGCGAGUACGUAUUCUUUGUCGAGUUCCUAGAUGUAUAUGCUCCAUAUGUCACAGGCAGGAUCCAACCAUUUGUAAUUAUUUUAUUUUUGUUAAAAAUAUAUAUAACUAUUUAUUUUAGAAUUUGUAAAAUAUUUAUAACUUUCUUAUUCAACUUAUAAUUGCGUCGGUUUAGGCUUGCUAAGGGACUAUUUUCCUGAGCGCCGGUCAUGACUCAUUUUGGGUCGUGACAGGGUACAUCAAGCAUGUCAUGAAUUCCACCAUGGCUCUAUCAAUUCAGAACUCUUUGGCGCCGUUCAGAUCCCUGGGAGCUCCAAGAUGGGGCGGUGGAUUGUUAGUCACCCUUAGGAUUUAGAUAAAGCUGUAGACAAUUGGAACGAGGAAAAUAGGCUCUUUUUAGAAAGCUGUUAAGGCCAUUUAGGUAAAGAUAGGAUAGUUAGUAGGAGUAGUUGUUAGGUUAGUUACUAUAAAGGAAUUGAGAAUGUAAUUGAUGGGAAUAAGGGUAGUGGCCUAAACAGUUAGUAUUAGAAGGCUUGCUGAACUCAUUGUAAAGCAAAUUUUGAUGUUGAAUAAAAAAACUGGAGAGUACCGCCUCUCUUUCCUCUUGUGGAGUUCUUAACCUUGGUCUAAACAAAGUGUUACAUUGGUGUUUUUGCCAUUAACUUAUGGAGAGAUUGGUAUUGAACAUGGGGGUGGGGAUGAGAUUGAUAGUAAAACUUGUCAUGUUUCAUUUGAUGUUGACGGUAAUGUUGCAGUCUCAAAAAAUUUGGAAGCAUGUGAUAAUUUUAAAUUUGCAAGAACAUUGUUAAGGGAUGCCCUUCCAUUAUUACAACCUCAAAGGAAAUAGUCCUUGUGUAUGACUUUUACUAUCAAAGCUGGAGAGCUUAAGAGUUUUUUUCAUUUGAAUGGUUUCCUCUUGAAUCAUUGGCCAAUUCAACAGACAAACUGAUAAAUUUGUGUUAUUUGGAUCUUUCUGAAUCCUCCAUAAAGAUAUAACCUGAGUCAUCUACAAAUAUUGAAGUUGAAUUGUUUGACUUUCUGGUGCCUGGUCCACAGAUCUUCUUUGCAUAUGUUUACCACCUAAGGCAAGUUUGUAUAAUCUUUUCUACAUCACAUGCAAUUGCACACUCAUUCUUAAUUUUAUCUCUUCUAGAAUGUCAGAAAGUCCUAGUAUAUCCUAGUGAAUCAGUGCAGUUAUUGUUAACUUCUAUCAAAUUGAAGCAUUGAAGGUAGAAGCUGUUUCUUCCAACUACCAUCUUUGACCUUCCAUUAGGCAUCAAAGCAGAGGAUGUGAUGUUGUUUGAGACACCUCCAGAGCUGAGACGAGAAUGGAGGCUGCACUGAAAUUUCUUCAUGGAGCCUCUCUGUUAGAAUCUACCAACAAUGAUAGUAACGAGAAUGAGAUGAUUCAGUCUAUCCAAAUUUAUAGUAGCACAACAAAAUUGUGCGAGUUUUGUGCCCACGAAUAUGAAAUUAAAAGACAUGGCUGGAGCUGCUCUGGCUUACAAAUGCAUGGAGGUGGCAUAUAUGAGGGUAGAAUAUAGCUUAAUCAUAAAAUCACAAUAGAGUAUUCUUUUAUUUUAUUUUUAUUUAUUUUAUUUUUUAUUUUGGGUUGAAAAAUUGUUACGC
Molecule: long non-coding RNA, 2568 nt
Organism: Arachis duranensis
Lineage: Eukaryota; Viridiplantae; Streptophyta; Magnoliopsida; Fabales; Fabaceae
Exons: 4
Source: RefSeq, a predicted model, not a curated record